RNAcentral lists this ribosomal RNA (396 nucleotides) under Marinomonas sp. oral taxon D33. RNAcentral's name for it is "bacterial SSU rRNA". It matches the Rfam family "Bacterial small subunit ribosomal RNA", at positions 30 to 421 of the family's 1533-position model. The record is from RNAcentral. Lineage: Bacteria; Pseudomonadati; Pseudomonadota; Gammaproteobacteria; Oceanospirillales; Oceanospirillaceae.
AUUGAACGCUGGCGGCAGGCUUAACACAUGCAAGUCGAGCGGUAACAGGGGAGCUUGCUCCUGCUGACGAGCGGCGGACGGGUGAGUAACGCGUAGGAAUCUACCUAGUAGAGGGGGACAACAUGUGGAAACGCAUGCUAAUACCGCAUACGCCCUAAGGGGGAAAGGAGGGGACUUUUCGGAGCCUUCCGCUAUUAGAUGAGCCUGCGUAAGAUUAGCUAGUUGGUAGGGUAAAGGCCUACCAAGGCGACGAUCUUUAACUGGUCUGAGAGGAUGACCAGUCACACUGGGACUGAGACACGGCCCAGACUCCUACGGGAGGCAGCAGUGGGGAAUAUUGGACAAUGCGGCGGAAGCCUGUUCCAGCCAUGCCGCGUGUGUGAAGAAGGCCUUUAG